This 73-nucleotide transfer RNA is filed under the name Rhodotorula toruloides. RNAcentral's name for it is "tRNA-Pro". It matches the Rfam family "tRNA". From Rfam's summary of the family: Transfer RNA (tRNA) molecules are approximately 80 nucleotides in length. Their secondary structure includes four short double-helical elements and three loops (D, anti-codon, and T loops). The record is from RNAcentral. Lineage: Eukaryota; Fungi; Basidiomycota; Microbotryomycetes; Sporidiobolales; Sporidiobolaceae.
GGUCUGAUGGUCUAGAGGUAUGAUUCUCUCUUAGGGUGGGAGAGGUCCCGGGUUCAAUCCCCGGUCAGACCCG